UACGUAGGUGGCAAGCGUUGUCCGGAAUUAUUGGGCGUAAAGCGCGCGCAGGCGGUCCUUUAAGUCUGAUGUGAAAGCCCACGGCUCAACCGUGGAGGGUCAUUGGAAACUGGGGGACUUGAGUACAGAAGAGAAGAGUGGAAUUCCACGUGUAGCGGUGAAAUGCGUAGAGAUGUGGAGGAACACCAGUGGCGAAGGCGACUCUUUGGUCUGUCACUGACGCUGAGGCGCGAAAGCGUGGGGAGCAAACAGG
Molecule: ribosomal RNA, 253 nt
Filed under: uncultured bacterium
Lineage: Bacteria
Description: partial 16S ribosomal RNA
Rfam family: Bacterial small subunit ribosomal RNA
Source: RNAcentral